GAUGCUAUGGUUUUGCCUGCUCAGGCCCUCUUAACCUUUCUGUACUAUGGACCUCUUUGGUAUCUGGUGAGAGCUCUGGGCUGCUGCUCAGAAUUCUCUUUUUAAAUCCACAAAAUAAAAUAUAUAUGGUUAGAAUGGAAGUCAGUCAUAUGCAAAUACAGUUAUCAAAAUAUUCAAUAUCAAAUCUGUGAUAGAAUAAUAUAUGUGCUUCUCUGUCAGUACAUUUAAAUAGCAAGAUACAAUGGAAGAUCUAAUAAUGAGCAUAACUGAAGAAUAGUGAGGAGCGUGAUCAAUAUUUUGUGUUGUCUGUGACCACUCUAAUGUGGUAGGAACAUACCUGUGGUUUCUGCUGGUGACCAAGUCACAGUUACUGUUGACACUACUGAGAAUUGCUUCCUACAUUCACAAUGGAAGGAAAUGUGAAAUUUCCAUCGGAAGUUAGUGAAAAUAAAGACAUAUUUUUACAUCCAGAACCCAUGCUCUGCCACAGGGAUUGACAAACUAUGGUUCAUCACCUAUUUUUGUACAGGCUACCAGCUAAGAAUGGUUUUCAUUUUUUAAAUGGCUGGGGGAAGAAAUGAAAAGAAGAACAAUUAUUUGUGACACAUGAAGAUUAUAUGAUAAUCAGAUUUCCAUGUCUAUAAAUAAAGUUCUCUUGGGGCACAGCCAUGACGGCUUUCACCCUGUAGCAGCAGAGUUGGGUAGUAAUUGAUGACAGAGACUGUACAUGGCCCAGAAGGUCAAAGAUAUUUACUAUCUGGCUCUUUAGAGGGGAAGUAUGCUGACUUCUGCACUAGAGGGUCCAUGAACCUGGGACCAGUGGGUAAAUCGGGUACCCUGAAAUCAUAUGUAAUACAUGUGUGUGCUUAUGGACGUGUAUUUUUUUCUGUGAAAGAGUGAAGACAUUUCAUAGUAUUUGUAAAGGGGUCUGUGGCCCCCAGAAGAUUCAGAACGAUUGGAUCUGGAAGUUCCUGAAAUAAACAAAGCUUCAAUGAAGAAAAGUGAAAAGAGUUAGUCAAUGAUUUACCCUUGUAAUAGUUUCCUAGACCUAGAUUGAACAAGCAAUUACAUGCAGUCCAUGCCACUAAUUCUCUUAAUGUAAGUCAAUUACCUCAGCGCUGUAGUCUAUCAGGGAGAGGGGCUCUCUUUGAAGUCUCUAGCGUUAGGUGGAAAUGACAGAAAGAGUCAAACACAUCUGCAGAAGAGCUUUGCCACAGGGAAAUGAAUUAUGUCUGAGGUCGAAUCUCUGUCCGGCCGGCUGAAUGCUUCAUUUGGGAGAGUCAUUUGGUACAGCCCUUGUUCUGUGGCAGUGCAGAUUGGUGUGGCUUUCUGAAAAAGCUUCUGGCAGCUUCUCCCCAGCUGGCACUGAAAACAACAGGGCAAUGUUUUAUGACAUUUUGCAAGGUAAGCACCGAUGAGGCCAGGGCCGAACUACUUGAGAAGGCAGUCAGGCAUUUGUCCAGAGCCUAUGGGGCGUGACCCAUCCUUCUGAGAGGAGCCGAGGCCAGCAAGCUGACUGUCCAGUGUUCUGACAUCACCGGAAUUUGCCUAGCUUAUUUUGUGGCUCUGGCCCAAGCCCAGGCAAGCCCAAGGCAAGGUUAGUUACUUUUCCUGAUGAUUAUGAGCAAACCAAGCUUCUGUUCAUAUCAAGAAAGAUUGCACUGCCCUCUGAAUGGCCUUUAUUUCUCCUUCGGAAAGUGGCAAACACUUGCUGGCUGUUAAAGGUUAAGAAGGCUUAACUUCAGUUGUAACCUAAUUGUGUUACUGAAUUAGAUACGUUAACUGCUGUAACACAUAGACUUCUAAAUAUAUAAUUGCUCAGAUAUAAGAGAAGUUUAGUUCUCUUAUGAACAGAUCAGAGAGGUGGCUCUUUUCCACAGAGGGUCCUAGGUAUCAACACGUAGCUUCCAAGGUCACCCAAGGGAUCCAUCUUCAGUCCAGCCAGUCAGAAGGGAAAAAAGAGCAUGGAGGCAAAGCACAGGAUGAUUCUUAUGGGUGAUCUUGGAAGUGGCAUAAUCACUUGAGCACACAGCCCAUUGACCAGAACUCAGUCCCAUGCCACACUGAACCACAAGGGAGGUUGGGAAAUUAGUAUAGCUGUGUCCCAAAAGGUUGGAGAACAUGAAUAGUUAGCAAUCUUGGCCACAUCAAUUUUUGGUACUACAGAAUUUUAGGGAACUCAAGGGAUAACACUUACUUGUCUUUGCGGUGCCUUACUCAUUCAACAGUAACUGACUGAGUUCGGACCCAGUGCUGAGUGCUAGGGAUAUAGCAGUGAGAUUGCUCUCUCCCUCAUGGGCUUGUGACAUGGCAGAGAAGCCAACAAAUGUGGAAUCUUAUUGACAUAUAUUUUGAAAGGGAAAAUGCAGGACACUGUUAGGGGUCUGGGUUAAUCAUGAGGGACUGAUGAAGUGAUGUGGCAAAUUGACACCUAAGGGAUGCUGUUGCAGAGGUUGUGUGUGUGGGCUUUUGGAUGCCCUGCAGCAGGGAAGGGUAGGGUAGAGGGAGGAAGAGCAAUAAAUGAAUGAAUGCCUGACCUCCUUCCAGUGAUGGUGUGGCUCCUUGGGUCCUGGUCCCUUUCCUCCAUUCUCACUUCUGUAGACCCUCUCUUCAUAUCCCCCUUUCCCUUCCCUCGGGUGAGUGUAAAGAAUCUCACUUGAUUCCCUGCUCUCUUUUCAGGUACGUUGGAGAUAGUGAGUUGUUCUCUUAAUGCCAUGCUUUUCUUUGGCCAACACUGCUUGGGGAUCAGUCGUGUUGACUGUUUUGCUAGGGGUGGAUUAGGCAGUUUAGGGAGAGUGAUUGUUAAUGAAGGGCAUAUGGAGAUGGAAGACAAAUAAGGAUUAGGGAUCUAAGUCUGCAGCUUUACUUCAGGAGGGAAGAGAGGCCACUAACCAGUACAUUUAAAUGGCAAGGAAGGGAAAUAAAUAACGGAGGAGCCUCCUGUUAGUGGGAGGACAAUAUUUGUCUUCCUGUCUUCUCACCCUUUGCUUUUCUCUCUUUACCGUAUUUAUUCACUUAAAUUUUCUUUUUUGUCCUAGGUUCUGAUUUUUUUUUUUUUUUGCCUUCUUUUUUCUUUCCCACCUUCCUGUGUCUUUUGAUUGGUCACCUGUUCUUUGGUAUGAAUAUCCCUUGAUUAGGGGCUCCCGAUAUGGGAAGCAGUCUCAUUCAGCUUUGCCUCUCUGUGUUUUUCCUAUCUUGAUUUCCCACUGGCAGUAUUCAUGGACCCUAUGUGUGAACUGAACAAAGUUAUUCAACCCAUUGGUAUUUAUUUUCUCAUUUCUCCACUGCUCCCAUCCCAUCUGCCUUUCCAGACCUAUUGCUUCUUCCACUGAGUUGUCCUAAUUCUCGUUUCCUUUUUGCUGCCUUUUCUGCCACCUCCCAACCCAGUCAAAGAAACCUACCUCUUCUCUCACCUCCCAUAGCUCCUUGUCCCUCACUGAUCACUUUACUUGAGCUAUUUAGUUUUGAGAGACUAUGAGCUUGAUGACAUGGUUGCUAUGUCAUUCAUUCUCUUUUCCUCAAUUUCCUACUUCAGUCCUUGGAGCACAUGUUGAGUGAAUGACUAAACCUUGCUUUAUUAGUUAUGUUAAGCCAAUUUGUGGUGGCCUGUUUUUCCUAUCUGCCAAUGAGGGGAUACAUUGUCAAAUAGUGUCUGGCUUGGUUAGUGUCCCUCAGGUCUCAGUUGUAAGAUUAAAAGUUUUCUUUGUAAGAUUGCAAAUCUGUAGAUGGAUUUGAGGAGCCACUGAAGGACCAGGAAGUCCUUUUUGUGGAUUCUCUGGCUGGUGGCAUGCCAGGGUCAGGAAAUGUGGGAAGGCAAGUUGUACACUCUGAGAAAUUCAUUUAAGUUGACCCACAUGUAGUCGAUAACUAGGAAGAUUUUAGAAGGCUUUAUCAGACUAACAAAUUGAGCUAGAAUUCAAAGUGGAGCAUCUGAAUUCAAAAUGAACGCAUAGAGCCCGAAAACCAAAUUUGAACGUAAUACAGCCAUGUUUAGGCUUAUGCUAUGACAACGUGACACCAACAGUGCCACUGUGCCAUGCUGGAAUGGGUACAGAGAUAAUUAGUGCCUGUCAUUGGUGAGUGGUAAAGACCAGGAGGGAACCAUGCCAUGCGAGGAGGGGCCGAAGAAGCUGGUGAUGUUUUAGACCUGGGAAGAACAGGAGAAUUUGAGGCCUCAAAUAGUUCAAAUGCUGUCAAGUUAAAAUGGAACUAGACUUACCAUUAUGUCGGUGGUUGUAAGCUACCGAAUGGAUAUACAGCUCGAAAUAGAAGAAAUAACUUAAUGAACAGAGCUGUCUAAAGAAAUAAUGAGCUGACUUAAUAAUAAGUAGUAAGCUGCCUGAAAGACCACUAGACUGGUGGUUCUAAGUGGUUCUAAAGGAGACUAAUUGUAGCACAUGGCCCCAGUCUCCUCUCAUGUGCCCUGAACUGACCUUGCUCAUAGUUUGUGGCAUUUCUUUUUCUUUGAGUCUUAAAGACCAAAAUUUCUUCUCGGGACAGCACUGAAACCUCCUUCCCAUGCCUGGACUAGGUGAUGUUUAAAGUCUCUUACAACUGUGAAGGACUACAAUUCCAAGAUUUUUAAGUCCCACAUGAUAGCAAACCCGCGCCCCAUAUUUCUUUUUUAAAGUAUCGGUAACAGUUAUGAAUACACACAUGUGCACUCAUGCACACACAACCAUGAUCAUACCAAACAAAAUCAACAAUAAUUCCUUAUCUUCUAAUACCCAGUGCAUUUUCAAUUUUAUUUUGUUCCAGUAGUUUCAAAAGUGUUUUUUUUAUAGUUGGGUUGUUCCCAAGUUGAUUAUUUUAAUCCAUCUAUUUUCUACAACAAAAUGGUUUUGUCAAGCUAUUAAUGUUUAUUAUUUUCUCUAAUAGGAUUUAGCCCAAGAAUAUUGGCAUGUUUUGCUUGUCCUCUCCAAUUCCAACAUAGGAAGGGAUGAUAUGUGAAUAUAAUAGAAUAAACCGCGAGGUGAACGUUAAGCUUACGUUGGUAGGGGACUUACAGUGAAAAAAGGGGAGACAAGCAUUAAAGCUUUUGUUUUUAACUAUAAGCGUUAAGUUGGUUGUUGUACCAACAACGUAUGAUGAAUUUUCUAAAAAGAAAUAAGACGAAUUACCAAUAGUAAGCUUGUAAUAUGCACUCAGUGUCCAUUUGUGUGGGGGUGUUGCACUAUUUAUUUUUUAAGAGAGAGAGUACACAAGUGAGUGCAAGCUGGGGUGGGGGUGCAGAGGGAGAGAGAGAGAGAAUCUUAAGCCGGGCUCCAUCCCACGACCCUGGGAUCAUGACAGAGUCAGAUGCUCAACCCACUGAGACACCCAGGCUCCCUGCAAUGUUUCUUUCUGUUAAAAUGAUCACUGCAAGUCUAGUUAACAUCCAUCACCUCACAUAGUUACAAAGUUUUUUUUUCUUGUCAUAAGAAUUUUUAAGAUCUGUUGUCUUAGCAACUUUCAAAUAUGCAAUACGGUAUUAUUAACUAUAGUUACAUCCCCAUGACUUAUUUGUUUUAUAACUGGAAGUUUGCACUAUUUCUUUUAAAAAUAGAACAUAUGUUUUGAAUCCACCUGGAAGGGUGCAAUAUGGCUCUACCUAAAGAGCCUUGAGUCAGGGGUACCUGGGUGGCUCAGUUGGUUAAGUGUCCGACUUCGGCUCAGGUCGUGAUUUCACGGUCUGUAAGUUUGAGCCCCGUGUCACGCUCUGUGCUGACAGCUCAGAGCCUGCAGCCUGCUUCCGAUUCUGUGUCUCCCUCUCUCUCUGCUACUCUCCCAGUCAUGCUCUGUCUCUGUCUCUCAAAAAAUAAACAUUAAAAAAAGUGUAAACAGCCUUGAGUGAUAAAUUUAAUACCUUAAGUUUUUCUCAGCUUGAUUCUAUCAUGUCAGAUUCCCUAGAACAUUAGGAAUACAGACUAUAUAGCCCAGCCUUUUAAGCUUCUAGAUUUUUGUGUGUUUUCCGUCACUUACAUAUAUGUUGCUUGACUUUUUUCUUUUUUUUUUUUAAUGAAGAAUUGAUAUGGGGAUAAAAACCUGAGAUGUUUUGUUGGCUUAGAGAUCUGAGCACUUCCUAAAUUAGACCUAAAUCAGAAACUGCUGGGAACAAGGAGGCUGGGAUGGCAAACUCCAGUCUCAUAACUAAUAGAAGCAUGCUGACCCACUCAGCUCUGAGUGUUGGUAUGCAGGAACGUGGGCCCAGUGUGGCCCAGACUUCCUACGUUUUUAAGAGAAAAUACAGGAAAUCUCUAAAUUGUUAAAUAUUGGUUCCAAAAAGCGAUCCAACAUUGUUGAGGCCAAAGAAAACAUGUCUGUGGGCCAAAUCUGGCCUGCAGGCCACCGUUUUACUAACCGUGGAUGAGAUCAGCAAAUAUUCAGCAGUAAAGGUUUCUCUGGCCACCUGUAUCUGGAAAUCUAAAGUGUGAAGCCAGUGGCUCAGUGUUCUGGAGAGAGCGGUGGCCUGUGUUCUUCAAACAUUGACAGCACUUCUGGCUCAUUAGCCUGUAGGGAGGCUGGUGGUCCCUUCAUAGCUCUGGGAGGGGUGCUUUUUGUGCUGAGGGUGGGUGCCUGUCUCUCAGCAUGUGCCUGGCAAUACUGUCCCAUCUCCUGCUCCUUGUUGGACCAGUGCCCAGGAUGUGGGGCUGUGGUUUGGAAGCCGCGACCUGUGUCUUGUAGAGAAUGAUUCAUGACCUCCAGACGGCACUGGGCAGGCUGCAGUGAUGUGGCUUCUUGGCCAUUUAAAAUGUGUGAAGGCAGGUCUGAUUAGCAUCAUUCCUAACGAUCCUCUAGGGGAUGCCCAGCAGCUCGUGGCCCCAUUUCUCCAGCACUGACCUUGGAGGUAGAAGAGCCGUCCGCUGUGAGUGAGAAAUCUUACAAGGGUAUAUACACUGUGCACCCUCCAAAUAAUAGAGAUCGUUGUUUGGAACUAUAGAAACACUCCAAAUGUAAUGGCAUUAGUAUUACUUUGCAAUUGCUAGGCAUUUUUAUAGCACAAAGAAAAAUCUUUCAAUUAAAAGAUGUAUAUUGUAAAUAGCAUGAGAAUAUGGACAUCUCUAGAUAAAAGGUUAUGGCUCUUUUUCUCACAUUAGAUAUUACGUUUGAGGGGAGGAUGCAAAUAUGAAUAAAUGAGCUAUAUUUUUCUUAUAUUAAUAAACCUCAAUUGUUUGAACUGAAUGUAUAAAUUCAGUUAUACAUAUAUGUGUGUAUAUAUAUGUAUAUAUAUAUAUAUACACACAGUUGAAUUUGGGGACAGGACUUCGGUUGGGGAAACUUGUCAAGAUCAUUCUAAACUUUAGUAUUUAGAGGAAUAAACAUGUGAGAAGACUCUUAAAAAAGAAUAUCAGGGCUGCUUGGGCGGCCCAGUCGAUUGAGCGUCUGUCUGACUUUUGAUAUUGGCUCAGGUAGUGAUCUUGGAGUCAGUUGUGGGAUUGAACCCUGCAUCAGGCUCUGUGCUGAGCCUGGAGCCUGCUUGGGAUUCUCUCUCUCCCUCCCACUCUUCCCCCCCCACCCCGUUUCUCUCUUCCAAAAUAAAUAAAACUUAAAAGAAAAUCAACAAAGGGGGAGUUUCAUAAAAUCUAUUAAAACAAAUGACAAAAAAAAUAAAACAGUGUGUUAUUGGCACAGGAAUAGGCAACCAAAUUAGUGGAACAAGGAAUCCAGAAUUAGACCCAGGUGUAUAUGGACAUUUGGUAUAAAAUAAAGAACGUGUUUCAAACCACUGGGAUGAGAUGGGUUAAUCAAUAAAGAAUGUUGAGACAACUGGCUAGUAAAAAGCUGAACUCUUCCCUAAUUUCCUUUUUUCUUCCCCCUCCCAAGUUCCUAUACGAAGAUAAAUCUAGAGGUAGAAAAUAAAAAGAUAAAGUAGUGAAAUAUAAGAAGGGGGAAAUAUUUUUUUCAGUCUUGGUGUGGGAAAGAACUUCCUAAGCAUAAUAACAAAGAUAAAAACCAAGACGGAAAAUGUGGAUACUUUUGAAUAUAUAAAAACUAUGCACUUCUGUAUAUUAAAUCAUUACCAAAAGCAAGAUUAAAAGAUAAAUCAAAGAUAUGUAUGCUAUAUGUGAAAAAGCAUUGAGAUUCCUAAUACAUAAAAAACUCUUGUAGAUUAUUUAGAAAAAGAAAAACCUCCAAAUAGAGAAAUGGGCCCAGGACAUACAGAGGGCACUCACCAAAGAAAAAAUGCAGAUAACCAAAACAUACGAAAGGGUGCCCAGGCUCAACUUCACCUGAAAUCGAAGAGUUCAUAUAAAGCAGCCACGCUUUGCCAGUUGGAUCAGCAGAGGUGAAAAUAAGAUCUCAGGGAUGGUGUAGUUGAAGGGACACUCUGAUGCCUUUUUGGGGAAAGUUUAAUUUGUGCUCACCUUUGAAGGGUUUGGCAGUCUGUAUCAACAUUCAAUUGUGUACACCCAUUGACACAGCAACACAACUCCUGGGAAAAUCCCCUAAAGGAAAUCACCAGACAGCAAUUUGUAUAAAUGUAUCUGUUUCUGGGUGGUUUAUAAUAACAAGAAACUGGGAAUUACCAGUACUUUAUUUCUUAAAUAUAUUACAGUACAUAUAUAUGUGGUAAUAUCAUACUAUCAUAUGUGGCUUAUUUAUUUAUUUUGAGAGAAGAGAGAGAGAGAGAGAGAGAGAGAGAGAGAAUGAAUCCCAAGCAGGCUGCACACUGAUGUGGGGCUUGAACCUUUGAACUGUGAGAUCAUGAUCUGAGCUAAAAUCAAGAGUUGGAUGCUCACCUGACUGAGCCACCCAGGUGCCCCAUCAUACUAGCUUUAAAAAGGAUAGCUUAUGUCAGUUUUUAUUUAUAUCAUAUAUUUAUUGAUAGAUAAGUUCUUCAAGAUAUGUUUAUGAAAGAAACAAUCAGUUGUUAAAGUAUAUCAUGUAUAUAUACAAAUAGAAGAAGAGGUCUAAGAGAAUAUUCUUCAAAAGUUUAAUUAUAGUUGAAAUUGGUUAGUGGAAUUUUGCUUUUUUGUUUGUUCCUUUAUAUAUUAUUAGUAUUUUUUGCACUCACCAUGUAUUAUGUUGGUAAGAGGUAAAAACAAAUGCAUUUCUAUAACACACACACACAAGCCAACAAACUAGCUUCCAGAGUUGUUCAUAUUUAGUAUAAGGAUAUGACUUUAAAUUUUUUUUAUUUUUGAGGGAGGGAGGGAGAGAGAGACAGAGAGACAGAGAGAGGGGGAGAGAGAGAAUCCCAAGCAGGCUCCACAGUGGGGAGCCCGACACAGGGCUCAAUCUCACGAAUCAAACUGUGAGAGCAUGACUUGAGCUGAAAUCAAGAGUUGGAUGCUUAACCAACUAAGCCACCCUGGCACCCCAGGAUAUGACUUUUAUUAUUUAUUUGUUUAUUUUUUAAAAUUGUUUUUAAUGUUCUAUUGAUUUUUGAGAGAGAGAGAGAGAGACAAACAGUGCGAGCUGGGGAGGAGCAGAGAGAGAGGGAGACACAGAAUCCAAGCUGUCAGCACAGAGCUGGAUGCAGGGGGAACUCAUGAACCUUGAGAUCAUGACCUGAGCCGAAGUCAGGUGCUUAACUGACUGAGCCACCCAGGCGCCCCAUGACUUUUAAAAUACACUUGUUGUAUUUGUCUGUUUGAAUAAGUGUAGAGCAUACUUCAGUGACAUGGUGCUUAUUACCUACAAUGACAGGCAGGGAGGUAUUCCCAUUUUGUAUUAUGUCACUAGGGUCUUUUCUACGGUAUUAGCAGGAGUCUGAGGAAUGGUGGUGGGAGCUGUUGACACCUCAGUAGAGUUCUUUUUUUCUACCAUCAUGUUUCCCCUUUUACAGGAAUUUCAGAGAGGACUCCCUUUUUUGAUAUUGAAGACUGAAAAUGUAUAAGAUUCUAGAUGGCAAUAUCAUAAAAUUGCAUUUCUUUUUACUUAGCUAUAUGAACAUUUCAUAUCAUAAAUUAUGGAAAGAUAAUUUAAAAAAUUUAAAUAUAAUUGACAUGUAACAUUGUAUAGUUUAAAGUGUACAACAUAAUGAUUCAAUAUUUGUAUACAUUGCAAAAUGAUUGCCACAAUAAGUCUGGUAAAGAUCUGUUACCAUACAUAGUAACAAAAUAUUUUUCCCCCUAAGGAGAACUUUUAAGAUCUACUCUCUUAGCAACUUUCAAGUAUGCAAUACAGUAUGAUUAGUUAUAGUCACCAUGCUGUAUAUCUCCAUGAUUUAUUUAUUUUAUAACUGGAAGUUUGUAUCCUAUGACCCCCUUCACAUAUUUUGCCUACCCCCUCCCCAUCUUCUACCUCGCAACCACCAAUGUGUUCUCUUUAUCUAUGAGCUUGGUUUUGUUUUGUUUUUGAUUCCACACAUAAGUGAGAUCAAACAGUAUUUGUCUUUCUCUGACUUAUUUCACUUAGCAUCAUGCUUUUAAGGGCCACCCAUGUUGUUGCAAAUGGCAGGUUUUCAUUUUUUUGUGGAUGAAUAAUUUCCCAUUGUGUGUGUCACACACACACACACACACACACACACACACCACAUUUUCUAUAUUCACUCAUACAUCAGUGGACACUUAGGUUGCUUCCAUAUCUUGGCUAUUGUAAGUAAUACUGCAGUGAACAUGGGGUACAUAUAUCUCUUUGAGUUCAAGUUUUUGGUUUGUUUUGUUUUUUUUUUUUUGUUUUUUUUUUUGUUUUUUUUUUGUUUUUUUUGGAUAAAUACCAGAAGUAAAAUCGCUGAAUCAUAUGGUAGUUCUAUUUUUGUUUUUUGUUUUUUUGAGGAACCUACGAAUUGUUUUCCAUAGUGGCUGCACCAGUUUACAUUCUCACCAGCAAUCACAAGGGUUUCCUUUCUCGGCAUCCUCCACAACUCUUGUUAUUUCUUAUCUUUUCAAUAAUAGCCAUUCUGACAGGUGUGAGGUGAUAUCUCAAUGUGGUUUUGAUUUGCAUUUCCCUGAUUAGUGAUUUUGAACAUCUCUUCAAGUGCCUGUUGGCCAUAUGUAGUCUUUUGGAAAAAUACCUCUUUUUUUGAGUUAGAUUCUUUGUUCGUUUGUUUGUUUUUUGAUGAUAAUUUCUUUUGUCGUGUAGAAGCUCUUUACUUUGAUGUAGACCCACUUGUUUAUUUUUGCUUUUGUUGCCUUUGCCUUUGGUGUCAGGUUCAAAACAUCAUUGCCAAGGACCAACGUCAAGGAGCUUACCACUUCUUAUUUUUCCUUCUAGGAUCUGUGUGACUCAGGUCUAACAUUUAAGUGUUUUGAGUUAAUUUUUGGGUAUGAUGCAAGCAGUGGUCUAGUUUCAUUCUUUCACAUGUGCCUGUCCAGGUUUCCCAACACAUUUAUUGAAGAGACUGUCCUUUCCCCGUUGUAUGUGUUUGGCUUCUUUGUUGUAAAUUAAUUGACCAUAUACAUGUAGGUUUAUUUCUGGGCUCUCUGUUCUGUUCCAUUGAUCUUUCUGCCUGUUUUAUACCAAUAUUGUCCUGUUUUAAAUACUAUAGCUCUGUAGUUUGAAAUCAGGGCGUGUGAAACUUCCAGCUUUGGUCUUCUUUCUCAAGAUUGCUUUGGCUAUUCAGGUUUUGGUCGUUAGUUUCAAUUAGGAUACAUUUAGUACAAGUUUCCAGACACUUCAUGGUUUCCUUCAUUUUGCAAUUUCUUUUACACUGAGAAUAUACUUGUAAUCAGAAAAAAAAUUUAAAUCUUUGUGGAAAAGAGAUAACUCAUAUUUUAAAAAUGGAUUAGGCAGAUAUGAUCACAUUCAGAUUAUUCUUAAAAGACAUGCUUAAAUUAAAAGGAUAUAAGGUAUAUUUUAGUUUGAUUAGUUGUGCUGGCCCUGAUUUUUACCAAGGAUAUAUUACUUUCUGUUUCAAAUGUUAAAUAACUGUAUCAUUAUGACAGCCAGAGGACUUUCCAAUUGUAGUUUUAUAGACAUAUUAUUAUUGCCACUGACUUUAAAAGAAAAGAAAGGAAUACAAAGGGCUAAGUGGAUAUGUUAUUCAAUUAGGGUAGAAGCCUGGGGGAGGGGUGGGAUUUUUCUCCGGGAGGUUGCAUAGCUGGUUAUAGUCACAUCACUUGCCAACUUUCUGCUUAACAGGCCGUUCCUGGCAGUUAGUACAGGACAGUUAUGGGUACUUGCUGUGUACUUUCUAAAGUCAUCCUGAAGUAAUACAGGCUACCUUCUCCUUCUCCUCUAGUCUCCCUUCCUGAGCUCCUCCCUGGCUUUCCCUACCCACACAUGCACACAUUCACUUUCUGGUAUAGCCCCUUCACAACAAACCUGGUAUAUCCAUGCUUGAUAUAUUUUAUUGGUUGGCUACAUAACCUAUAUCAGUCCCACCAAAAUGCAACUAUGAUGGAGGGAGAAGAGUACUGGGCUAACCUCAGAGGCAGAAGCCUCUUGAUAUACUCUGGCCUCACUUCCCUGUCUAUAAAAUGGCCACUAUAACAAACUUUUUAUAAGGUUAUGGCUAGGGAGAUGAAAUGUGUAUCUGUUAGGGUUAGAUUUGACUGCUUUUGACCAAAAAAAAAAACAAAAAAACAAAAAAACAAACAAAAAAAAAAACAGUGAUAAUAGUAAAAUAGUAGCUUUUAAUAAAAUAGAACUUUAUUUUCGUAGGAAAUAGAAGUUUUGUUUGUUUCCUGUAUAUGAGUCUAGAGCCAGGCUGCCCAGGACUAGCAUGAUACUUUAUGGUGCAGGACCCAGUCUUUGUUUCCUUUUGCACUGCUGUUCUUAGCAGGUAGCUUCAAUAUCAUAGCCCAGAAUGAGCACUUGAGUUCCAAUCAUUAUAUCCAAAUUCCAGCUAAGAGAAAGGAGGAAGGUGGAAAAAGGGUGUACCCGUUCUCUUUAAGGAUACUUCCACUAAGGAUUGCUCACAUAUUGUACAGAACCACAUCAGGUGGCUGUGUACUCAGUUAAAAGGCAGCUUAUUAUUUAUUAUGUUUAUUACAUUUAUGAUGAAAGAAAGAUGUGGGGGCAAACCGGCAGUCUUUGCCACAGUUCAUGAAAGACUUUUGUGACCUAGGAAAUGCUUCUAGUACGAAAAAUAUUUAUGUAAUAUUGCCAGGAGCAACCUGAUGUACAUUCAUCCAUUCACCAAGUGUUUAUUAAGUACUUACUGGGGGUGUAGCACUAGAACUUGUGCCCAUAUACUUCCUCAUAUAUUUCUUAGUCAAUUUACGUUAUCUCCAAGAAAAAGGGUUGAGGGAUUCACAUAGCUGUGAGUCUCCCCUACUUUGCUGUGCAUGUGGGCAUAGAACAUCACUAAGAUACUAAUCCCUUUCUUUGGAAGGAGGGAAGGGGAAGGGUAACAUUGGAGCAUGUAAUAAAUGACAGCUCUCUAGCUCAUCAGUACAGACUGUGCAUGUUUUUCCCUCCUGCUCACAGAGGUCCUGUCUUUUGUCAUCAGUUCCUCAUGUUGAUUUAUGUCUUGCAUCCUCACUUACUUGGAUAUAUGCCCUUUUCCCUAUUUAAGGCACAUGCGCAGGAUUGACUUUUCAUCUUCUUCCCUCUUCCUUUGAAAUAGGGAACACUGUGUUUGAACAGACAUGCAAUUUACUUGGGAAGCAAAGAUAGAUUAGAUAGAUAGAUAGAUAGAUAGAUAGAUAGAUAGGAAAAUAGAUCGAUCGAUCAAUCAGUGGGUAGGUGGGUGGGUGGUUGGAUGGAUGGAUGGAUGGAUGGAUGGAUGGAUAAGUAUACAUAAGCAAGCAAGCAUAACCUAAUCAUCAGGCAGCAUUGUCAAUUACUGGCUGUUUCUCAGGGGGGGCCUGAAUACUUGCAGGACCCUUUAGGAAAUAGGAUCUACAGUCACAGGCUUAAGAUACUCCAUUUGGAAGGAAUUCAGAGAUGUCUAAUGUCCUUCAUCCUAAUCUUUCAGGAAUUGAUGGUAGUGCGCUUUCUUUUUUUUUAAAUCUCGUUUUAUUAUGAAAACGUUCAAACAGAAAACAACCACAAGCUCAUGACUGAGAUGGAAAAAAAUGUUAACACUUUGCCAUAUUUAAGAAAAAACACAAAAUGAAAUUUUAUAGAUGUCGAGGUUUUCUCCCAUAUAAAUACGUGGUUCUUGGGUCAUUCAUGUCUAAAUACUACCGUAUCUGGGACACUGUCCCCAAUCUUCCAUGUAAAACCUCCCCUCUAACCUUUUCUUGCUAGCAGUUUUCACCACCUGACAUAUAUAGUGUAUUUAUUUGCUUGUCUUCUGUCCAUCUCCUUCCACUAGCAUGUCAGCUCUGUGAGAGCUGGAUGUGGCUUUGUUCCUGAUGAAUUCCUUUCUCCUUCAGUGGGGCUGGCACCAGCUAGGAACCGGUGAACAGAGCUGAAGCCUCUUUUAGGCUUCCUCAUGCAUCACCUCUCUCCCUGCUUCUCUUCUCAGGGGGAACCACUGUCCUGAAGUUUUAUAUAUCUUCCCCAUCCUUGUCUUUAUGCAAUCCAAUUUUAUUUAUACCUUUGUAUCUCUGUGUGAGCAUUGUGUACACAUACUCUAGAACAAUAGAUGGUCGUGUGUACCUUUAGAAAUAUGACAGUGGGGGGCAAAAAAUAUUAGAGGGGUGCUUGGGUGGUUCAGCCACUUAAGCAUCUGACUCUUGAUUUCUGCUCAGGUCUUGAUUUCCCGGUUGUGAGAUGGAGCCCCACGUCAGGCUCUGAGCUGAGUGUGGAGCCUGCUUAAGAGUCUCUCUCUCUUCCUCUCCCUCUGCCUCUCCCUUCUCCACACGCACAUGUGCACUCACGCUCUCUCUAAAAAAAAAUUACAUAUGCAAACUAUAUAUAUAUUCUCUGUAACUUACUUCUUCAAACAUUAUGUGCUUGAGAUUUAUCUAUGUGAAUACAGAAACAUUUACUUCAUAUAUUUCAUAUUCCUACAGUAUUCCUUCUAAAAUUAUAUCCCAGUGGAUCUAUUUUUGGCCAUAGCUUUUUAAUAGCAGCUAUAUGUUACCUUUCUUUUGUGAGGGACUCUCUGAGUUUAACCUGUGGUAACGAUUGUACCAAUUCUAGAAAUGGGUUAGAAAACAGUUAAUGGGGUUUCACAUUUGUGAAACUGUUGGUGGCUCAGUCGGUUGAGCAUCCAACUCUUGAUUUCAGCUCAGGUCAUGAUCCCAGGCUUGUGGGAUCAAGCCCCUUGUUGGGCUCCAUGCUGGGUGUAAAGCCUGCUUAAGAUUCUCUCUCUUUUGGGACACCUGCGUGGCUCAGUGGGUUGAGCGUCUGACUCUUGACCUCAACUCAGAUCAUGAUCUCAGGGUUCUUGGGUUCAAGCCUGGCGUUGGGCUCUGGGCUGGCAGCACAGGGCCUGUUUGGGAUUCUGUCUCUAUCUCUCUCUGCGCCUCCCCUGUUCAUGCUCACUGUCUCUCAAAAUAAAUAAGUAAACUUAAAAAAAAAAAAGAUUCUCUUCCUGCCCCUCCCCUGCUCAUUCUCUCUCUCUCUC
Molecule: long non-coding RNA, 15328 nt
Organism: Panthera uncia (snow leopard)
Lineage: Eukaryota; Metazoa; Chordata; Mammalia; Carnivora; Felidae
Exons: 2
Source: RefSeq, a predicted model, not a curated record